UCCCCGGUGGCUCAGACGGUAAAGCAUCUACCCGCAAUGCAGGAGACCCAGGUUCAAUUCCUGGGUCGGGAA
RNAcentral lists this transfer RNA (72 nucleotides) under Ovis aries (sheep). It matches the Rfam family "tRNA". From Rfam's summary of the family: Transfer RNA (tRNA) molecules are approximately 80 nucleotides in length. Their secondary structure includes four short double-helical elements and three loops (D, anti-codon, and T loops). The record is from Rfam by way of RNAcentral. Lineage: Eukaryota; Metazoa; Chordata; Mammalia; Artiodactyla; Bovidae.